CCCGCUCAGAAACUUAAAGGAAUUGACGGGGGCCCGCACAAGCGGUGGAGCAUGUGGUUUAAUUCGAUGGUACGCGAGGAACCUUACCAGGGCUUGACAUACGUUGGAAGCGCAUCGAAAGGUGCGUGCCGCUUGCGGCCGGCGUACAGGUGCUGCAUGGCUGUCGUCAGCUCGUGCUGUGAAGUGUUGGGUUAAGUCUCGCAACGAGCGCAACCCCUGCUGCCUGUUGCCACCACGAGAGGUGGGGACUCAGGCGGGACCGCCGGUGACAAACCGGAGGAAGGUGGGGACGACGUCAAGUCAUCAUGGCCCUUAUGUCCUGGGCUACACACGUGCUACAAUGGCCGGUACAGAGCGCAGCGAGGCCGCGAGGCGGAGCGAAUCGCUUAAAGCCGGUCCCAGUACGGAUUGGAGUCUGCAACCCGACUCCAUGAAGUUGGAAUCGCUAGUAAUCGCGCAUCAGCAUGGCGCGGUGAAUACGUUCCCGGGCCUU
This 493-nucleotide ribosomal RNA is filed under the name uncultured Spirochaeta sp. Its description in RNAcentral is "bacterial SSU rRNA". It matches the Rfam family "Bacterial small subunit ribosomal RNA", at positions 888 to 1382 of the family's 1533-position model. Lineage: Bacteria; Pseudomonadati; Spirochaetota; Spirochaetia; Spirochaetales; Spirochaetaceae. The record is from RNAcentral.